Molecule: ribosomal RNA, 505 nt
Filed under: uncultured bacterium
Lineage: Bacteria
Description: partial 16S ribosomal RNA
Rfam family: Bacterial small subunit ribosomal RNA
Source: RNAcentral
AGUGAACGCUGGCGGUAGGCCUAACACAUGCAAGUCGAACGGCAGCACAGGAGAGCUUGCUCUCUGGGUGGCGAGUGGCGGACGGGGGAGGAAUACAUCGGAAUCUACUCUGUCGUGGGGGAUAACGUAGGGAAACUUACGCUAAUACCGCAUACGACCUACGGGGGAAAGCAGGGGACCUUCGGGCCUUGCGCGAGUGACUGCGCCGAUGUCGGAUUAGCUAGUUGGCGGGGUAAAGGCCCACCAGGGCGACGAUCCGUAGCUGGUCUGAGAGGAUGAUCAGCCACACUGGAACUGAGACACGGUCCAGACUCCUACGGGAGGCAGCAGUGGGGAAUAUUGGACAAUGGGCGCAAGCCUGAUCCAGCCAUACCGCGUGGGUGAAGAAGGCCUUCGGGUUGUAAAGCCCUUUUGAUGGGAAAGAAAUCCAGCUGGCUAAUACCCGGUUGGGAUGACGGUACCCAAAGAAUAAGCACCGGCUAACUUCGUGCCAGCAGCCGCAGUA